AGAGUUUGAUUCUGGCUCAGAACGAACGCUGGCAGCGUGGAUGAGGCAUGCAAGUCGAACGGGAUCCAAAGCGUAGCAAUACAAUUUGGUGAGAGUGGCGAAAGGGUGAGGAACGCGUGGGUAACCUACCCUGAAGUUGGGGAUAACCUGCCGAAAGGCGGGCUAAUACCGAAUGUGGUUGUCUUUCGCAUAGAAGACAGUCUGAAGGCGGGGAUUCUUCGGAACCUGUCGCUUCAGGAGGGGCCCGCGUCCCAUCAGCUUGUUGGUGAGGUAAUGGCUCACCAAGGCUUACGGGUAGCUGGUCUGAGAGGAUGGUCAGCCACACUGGGACUGAGACACUGCCCAGACUCCUACGGGAGGCUGCAGUCGAGGAUCAUUUGCAAUGGGCGAAAGCCUGACAAUGCGACGCUGCGUGGAGGAUGAAGGCCCUCGGGUCGUAAACUCCUGUCAUUCGGGAACAAUAGCGGAAGGGUUAAUACCCUUUUCGUGUGAUGGUACCGAAAGAGGAAGCCACGGCUAACUCUGUGCCAGCAGCCGCGGUAAUACAGAGGUGGCGAGCGUUGUUCGGAUUUACUGGGCGUAAAGGGUGCGUAGGUGGUUCUGUAUGUCGGAUGUGAAAUCCCACUGCUCAACGGUGGAACUGCAUUCGAAACUGCAGGGCUGGAGUGCAGGAGAGGAGAGCGGAAUUCUUGGUGUAGCGGUGAAAUGCGUUGAUAUCAAGAAGAACACCGGUGGCGAAGGCGGCUCUCUGGAAUGCUACUGACACUGAGGCACGAAAGCUGGGGGAGCAAACAGGAUUAGAUACCCUGGUAGUCCCAGCCCUAAACGGUGUACACUUGUUGUUGGUGGAUUCGACCCCAUCAGUGACGGAGCUAACGCGUUAAGUGUACCGCCUGGGGAGUACGGCCGCAAGGCUAAAACUCAAAGAAAUUGACGGGGGCCCGCACAAGCGGAGGAGCAUGUGGCUUAAUUCGAUGCAACGCGAAGAACCUUACCAGGGCUUGACAUGUAACUGCUCAUCCUGUGAAAGCAGGACUCUUUCGAAGGUGUUACACAGGUGCUGCAUGGCUGUCGUCAGUUCGUGCCGUGAGGUGUUUGGUUAGGUCCAGCAACGAACGCAACCCUUGUGCUUAGUUGCCACCCCCGAUGUUAAGUCGGGGAGCACUCUAGGCAGACUGCCCGUGUAAGCGGGAGGAAGGUGGGGAUGACGUCAAGUCAGUAUGGCCCUUACGCCCUGGGCUGCACACGUGCUACGAUGGGAGUUACAGAAGGACGCGAAAUCGCGAGGUGGAGCAAAUCCUGAAAAGCUUCCUCAGUUCAGAUUGGAGUCUGCAACUCGACUCCAUGAAGUCGGAUUCGCUAGUAACGGCGCAUCAGCUACGGCGCCGUGAAUACGUUCCCGGGCCUUGUACACACCGCCCGUCACAUCAUGAAAGCCGUCUGCACCCGAAGUCGCUGUUUCAACCCGCAAGGGAGAUAAGUGCCGAAGGUGUGGGUGGUGAUUGGGAUGAAGUCGUAACAAGGUA
RNAcentral lists this ribosomal RNA (1526 nucleotides) under metagenome. Its description in RNAcentral is "bacterial SSU rRNA". It matches the Rfam family "Bacterial small subunit ribosomal RNA". The record is from RNAcentral.